Molecule: non-coding RNA, 347 nt
Organism: Schizosaccharomyces pombe (fission yeast)
Lineage: Eukaryota; Fungi; Ascomycota; Schizosaccharomycetes; Schizosaccharomycetales; Schizosaccharomycetaceae
Source: the annotation of a GenBank genome assembly
CGGCUAACCAAGUGAUUCGGUGUAUUUAAUCACCGAGUUUUUUUUUGUUUAUGCGAGGCAAUUUUUGAUUUUAUUAAGCAUAUAGGUAGAAUUUCAUAUUCAAUUAUUUAUCUCGAUACAAAAUACAUGGUUGAAGAGCGGUGUCCUUUGCAUCAACGUUUAAUAUAAAAAAAUAAAAAUUGUAUUGCUCUUGAGCUUAUCCUUGAGAAGUUGAGUAAUUAACAAAAUUGUCUAGAAGUUGGAAAAAUAUUAAGCAAACUAAGUUAAACUUCCUCAUGUGUUAUCAAUCCAUUUUUAUGCUGACAGAUCGUCUUCUACAAAAAAACUGGCAACAAUAAACUGGGAGG